This 253-nucleotide ribosomal RNA is filed under the name uncultured bacterium. Its description in RNAcentral is "partial 16S ribosomal RNA". It matches the Rfam family "Bacterial small subunit ribosomal RNA", at positions 524 to 776 of the family's 1533-position model. The record is from RNAcentral.
UACGUAGGGGGCAAGCGUUGUCCGGAUUUAUUGGGCGUAAAGAGCGUGUAGGCGGCCUGACAAGUCUGCUGUGAAAACUCGAGGCUCAACCUCGAGAUGUCGGCGGAAACUGUCUGGCUAGAGUCCGGAAGAGGAGAGUGGAAUUCCUGGUGUAGCGGUGAAAUGCGCAGAUAUCAGGAAGAACACCUAUGGCGAAGGCAGCUCUCUGGGACGGUACUGACGCUGAGGAGCGAAAGCGUGGGGAGCGAACAGG